Molecule: long non-coding RNA, 643 nt
Filed under: Homo sapiens (human)
Lineage: Eukaryota; Metazoa; Chordata; Mammalia; Primates; Hominidae
Description: HSALNT0398953
Source: RNAcentral
GUUUUUCCCUUACAUCUACCGGGUGUGGGAACUCACCCAGCGCAUCCGACUGCACGGCGAUGGUGCCACAAGCCAGAUCACUGGGACCACUCAGAGAAAGGGAACACAGAAGCCUGGCAUGCCAGCAAAAAGCAGGGUUUUUGUGAGCAGUGUCUUGCACCAAACUCCUGUCUCCUCCUGUGACUUAGAAUGCCUAACUUCCUGGGAAUGCAGCACAGGUCUCAGCCUCAUUUUGCCCAGCCCCUAUUCAAGACGGAUUUGCUGUGGUUCAAAUGCUUCUGACAAUAUUCCUCAUGGUGAAUGCUGGAUUUUGCAUGCCCGAGGCCCUGGGCCACACUGUAUGUUUGCUUUUUGCAAGGGCUGUAUGGCUAUGACUAGUUAUGUGGACCCUGCAUUCCUAUGUAAAUGACCCUCCAUAAAAACCCCAGAAAUGAAUGCUUGAGUGAACUUCCCUGGCUUGUAUUAUAAUACUGUGAACAUCUUGUCACACAUCUUUGCUGGGGGAAUUAAGUGUGUCCCUAUGUGACCGUAAUGGGAGAUAACACCCAGAGUUUUGUGCCUGCUUUCAUGUGGACUUCAUUCUAUGUGAUUUUUCCCUUUGGUGAUCCUGGUCUAUAUCCUUUUAUUGUAAUAAACUAUAACC